GUCCUCAAGAGGUUCAUAACUUUUCCUGUCACCCAAGACAGCGCUGACCGAAAGAAAGCAGAAUUCUUUGCUAUAGCCAAUUUCCCUAACAUCGUAGGUGCCAUUGAUGGCACACACAUCCGAAUUGUGGCACCGAGGGAUCAAGAAGAAGUGUAUGUGAACCGGAAGGGGUAUCACAGCAUGAAUGUCCAAGUUGUAUUUGAUGCCAAUUAUCGAAUAUUGGACAUUCUUGCCAAGUGGCCAGGGUCAGUGCAUGAUGCACGUAUCUUGAACAGCAGUGGAUUGUCAAGAUUGUUUGACGGAGGAUAUGUGCCAGCAGGAAGUCACUUGCUUGGAGACAGUGGGUACCCCUGCAAGACAUGGCUCCUUACACCUUAUCUGCGUCCACUGCCUGGACCUCAGUCACGAUAUAAUAGGUCUCACAAAAUUACACGCAGUAUUGUUGAACGUGGAAUUGGACAACUCAAACGCCGAUUUCAUGUUUUGCAUGGUGAGGUACGAUUGAGGCCCCCCCUCAAGGUGUGCAAAAUCAUUCAUGUGUGUGGAAUGCUGCACAAUAUUUGCAAGGAUAGGAAUCUUCCUCUUCCUCUGGAUGACGAGCAACCAAUGGGUGCAGAGGCACAAGUCCCAGUGCCAUUAAAUGAUGCUGCAGAAGAACCUGCCAAUGCGCCCGGUGGUCACCGUAAUGAGGGUCGUGCCUAUCGGGAUGCAUUCUGCACCUUGCAUUUCAGCAAUGAGGACUGAUGGAACGUCCUCCAACAGGGCCUCGUGUACCUACCUUGCCUGUUCCUUGGCCCGCAUAGCUGCCUCCUUGGCCCUCGCAGCGGACUCCUUGGCCCUCGCAGCGGACUCCUUGGCCCUCGCAGCGGACUCCUGUGCUCGGGCAGCUGCCUCUUGGGCCCGUGCAGCGGAUGCCACUGCCUGAGCAGCUGCCUUGUGU
Long non-coding RNA from Eriocheir sinensis (Chinese mitten crab), 940 nucleotides. RefSeq lists it as uncharacterized. The transcript has 4 exons. Lineage: Eukaryota; Metazoa; Arthropoda; Malacostraca; Decapoda; Varunidae. The record is from RefSeq and is a predicted model, not a curated record.